AGCGUACACGGUGGAUGCCCUGGCAGUCAGAGGCGAUGAAGGACGUGCUAAUCUGCGAUAAGCGUCGGUGAGGUGAUAUGAACCGUUAUAACCGGCGAUUUCCGAAUGGGGAAACCCAGUGUGUUUCGACACACUAUCAUUAACUGAAUCCAUAGGUUAAUGAGGCGAACCGGGGGAACUGAAACAUCUAAGUACCCCGAGGAAAAGAAAUCAACCGAGAUUCCCCCAGUAGCGGCGAGCGAACGGGGAGGAGCCCAGAGCCUGAAUCAGUGUGUGUGUUAGUGGAAGCGUCUGGAAAGGCGCGCGAUACAGGGUGACAGCCCCGUACACAAAAAUGCACAUACUGUGAGCUCGAUGAGUAGGGCGGGACACGUGGUAUCCUGUCUGAAUAUGGGGGGACCAUCCUCCAAGGCUAAAUACUCCUGACUGACCGAUAGUGAACCAGUACCGUGAGGGAAAGGCGAAAAGAACCCCGGCGAGGGGAGUGAAAAAGAACCUGAAACCGUGUACGUACAAGCAGUGGGAGCCUCUUAAUGGGGUGACUGCGUACCUUUUGUAUAAUGGGUCAGCGACUUAUAUUCUGUAGCAAGGUUAACCGAAUAGGGGAGCCGAAGGGAAACCGAGUCUUAACUGGGCGUUAAGUUGCAGGGUAUAGACCCGAAACCCGGUGAUCUAGCCAUGGGCAGGUUGAAGGUUGGGUAACACUAACUGGAGGACCGAACCGACUAAUGUUGAAAAAUUAGCGGAUGACUUGUGGCUGGGGGUGAAAGGCCAAUCAAACCGGGAGAUAGCUGGUUCUCCCCGAAAGCUAUUUAGGUAGCGCCUCGUGAAUUCAUCUCCGGGGGUAGAGCACUGUUUCGGCAAGGGGGUCAUCCCGACUUACCAACCCGAUGCAAACUGCGAAUACCGGAGAAUGUUAUCACGGGAGACACACGGCGGGUGCUAACGUCCGUCGUGAAGAGGGAAACAACCCAGACCGCCAGCUAAGGUCCCAAAGUCAUGGUUAAGUGGGAAACGAUGUGGGAAGGCCCAGACAGCCAGGAUGUUGGCUUAGAAGCAGCCAUCAUUUAAAGAAAGCGUAAUAGCUCACUGGUCGAGUCGGCCUGCGCGGAAGAUGUAACGGGGCUAAACCAUGCACCGAAGCUGCGGCAGCGACACUAUGUGUUGUUGGGUAGGGGAGCGUUCUGUAAGCCUGUGAAGGUGGCCUGUGAGGGUUGCUGGAGGUAUCAGAAGUGCGAAUGCUGACAUAAGUAACGAUAAAGCGGGUGAAAAGCCCGCUCGCCGGAAGACCAAGGGUUCCUGUCCAACGUUAAUCGGGGCAGGGUGAGUCGACCCCUAAGGCGAGGCCGAAAGGCGUAGUCGAUGGGAAACAGGUUAAUAUUCCUGUACUUGGUGUUACUGCGAAGGGGGGACGGAGAAGGCUAUGUUGGCCGGGCGACGGUUGUCCCGGUUUAAGCGUGUAGGCUGGUUUUCCAGGCAAAUCCGGAAAAUCAAGGCUGAGGCGUGAUGACGAGGCACUACGGUGCUGAAGCGACAAAUGCCCUGCUUCCAGGAAAAGCCUCUAAGCAUCAGGUAACAUUAAAUCGUACCCCAAACCGACACAGGUGGUCAGGUAGAGAAUACCAAGGCGCUUGAGAGAACUCGGGUGAAGGAACUAGGCAAAAUGGUGCCGUAACUUCGGGAGAAGGCACGCUGAUAUGUAGGUGAAGCGACUUGCUCGUGGAGCUGAAAUCAGUCGAAGAUACCAGCUGGCUGCAACUGUUUAUUAAAAACACAGCACUGUGCAAACACGAAAGUGGACGUAUACGGUGUGACGCCUGCCCGGUGCCGGAAGGUUAAUUGAUGGGGUUAGCGGCAACGCGAAGCUCUUGAUCGAAGCCCCGGUAAACGGCGGCCGUAACUAUAACGGUCCUAAGGUAGCGAAAUUCCUUGUCGGGUAAGUUCCGACCUGCACGAAUGGCGUAAUGAUGGCCAGGCUGUCUCCACCCGAGACUCAGUGAAAUUGAACUCGCUGUGAAGAUGCAGUGUACCCGCGGCAAGACGGAAAGACCCCGUGAACCUUUACUAUAGCUUGACACUGAACAUUGAGCCUUGAUGUGUAGGAUAGGUGGGAGGCUUUGAAGUGUGGACGCCAGUCUGCAUGGAGCCGACCUUGAAAUACCACCCUUUAAUGUUUGAUGUUCUAACGUGGGCCCGUAAUCCGGGUUGCGGACAGUGUCUGGUGGGUAGUUUGACUGGGGCGGUCUCCUCCUAAAGAGUAACGGAGGAGCACGAAGGUUGGCUAAUCCUGGUCGGACAUCAGGAGGUUAGUGCAAUGGCAUAAGCCAGCUUGACUGCGAGCGUGACGGCGCGAGCAGGUGCGAAAGCAGGUCAUAGUGAUCCGGUGGUUCUGAAUGGAAGGGCCAUCGCUCAACGGAUAAAAGGUACUCCGGGGAUAACAGGCUGAUACCGCCCAAGAGUUCAUAUCGACGGCGGUGUUUGGCACCUCGAUGUCGGCUCAUCACAUCCUGGGGCUGAAGUAGGUCCCAAGGGUAUGGCUGUUCGCCAUUUAAAGUGGUACGCGAGCUGGGUUUAGAACGUCGUGAGACAGUUCGGUCCCUAUCUGCCGUGGGCGCUGGAGAACUGAGGGGGGCUGCUCCUAGUACGAGAGGACCGGAGUGGACGCAUCACUGGUGUUCGGGUUGUCAUGCCAAUGGCACUGCCCGGUAGCUAAAUGCGGAAGAGAUAAGUGCUGAAAGCAUCUAAGCACGAAACUUGCCCCGAGAUGAGUUCU
This 2773-nucleotide ribosomal RNA is filed under the name Escherichia coli. RNAcentral's name for it is "bacterial LSU rRNA". It matches the Rfam family "Bacterial large subunit ribosomal RNA". Lineage: Bacteria; Pseudomonadati; Pseudomonadota; Gammaproteobacteria; Enterobacterales; Enterobacteriaceae. The record is from RNAcentral.